Molecule: long non-coding RNA, 94 nt
Organism: Sinocyclocheilus rhinocerous
Lineage: Eukaryota; Metazoa; Chordata; Actinopteri; Cypriniformes; Cyprinidae
Exons: 3
Source: RefSeq, a predicted model, not a curated record
AUUACUUUAGCCUAAGUUGAGGGGGCGCAUGCGCAAGUGCUGACCCAGACGCUGGCGUGUUCGAGUUUGUUUGUUUUGUCUUAUAGUUGUCUUA